UGUACCCAAUAAAAGUUAUUUCUAAUAACUGGGCUAUUAUUUUUAAUAUUGCAGAUCCAUUUUAUAACUUCCUACAAACAACAGCUUGUCUUCCUUUCUAGUCAAUAUUGUUUUAAAAUCUGGGGACUGCUUCAUCUCAGACAAAAUGGGAGACACCAUGCUCGUUUGUAUAAGGUUCAAGGACACAACUGAAGCGACAGCCCAGGAGCUGUGAUGGGGACACGGAGGGAAACGCCACAACCCAACUAGCAGAGGUCAAGAGCAAAGGGCAUGGAUCAGGCUUCUAUCACAGUCUAUGUAGAGAGAUGCUAGGCUCUAUAAAGCAUGAGACUGUACUCUUACUAAACAAAAAAUGAUUCAGACACAAGUGUUCCCUCAAGACACUGCCAAUCUGUUUCAGGAGAUGAGACACGUUCAAAAAUUGUUAUACUCAACAUUACCAAGUAAACGGCACUAAGGCACAAAGAAAAAUGGCCACACAGGAAAAUGCUACAGGGAGCACCAGAAGCAGGCAGCAUUUUGGAUGCAAGAGUUCCUGAAGGAGGGGUUUGAGUGAAGCUCUACAUCACGAUGCAGGCACACAAAGAGAAACACGGAGGCGCAACACAGGAUUCACUCAGGAAGAAAACAAAGCUCAUUUCGCCAAAGAUAAAUGUUUACCUUCCAGUGUUAGAUGAAAUUCAAUACCACAUUGGCCUAGUACCAUUUGGGAAUCACAUGUUUCUUCAGAUUUUGAUAAACAGUACUGUGGGUAGUCAGGAGGGCAGAAGUAAACACCGCCUGUGAUCAAAAGGGACUGGCCAGGGUGAUACCUUUGCUCCUUAACAAUAAAAGAAACACUUGUCAUCCGGGCUUAAGGAGUGUAAACUGGCAAUAAGAAAGGUACAGAGAGCGAGAACUCAAGCAAAACACAUUAUUACACAAUUCUGUCUGGGGCUGGUGUUUGCAGAGAUAUUACAGAAUACACUGUCAGUAUGGUCCCUUGUCGCCAGGCCUUGCUCAGGAGCAAGGACUGACCUAGCAGAUUCAUCUCCACUUAUUUCCAAGCCCAUGCAAGAAGCCUGUUGCCACAGAUAGGCAGGCUUGGGAAGUGGCCAUGCGGCCCAGGGUUGGGCCACGUCCGUGGGUCUAGGACGGUGGGUAAUUUUCCCUCCCAUCCCUCAAGGAGCUGUCAAAUCUUGGUGAUGAC
Molecule: long non-coding RNA, 1189 nt
Filed under: Chinchilla lanigera (long-tailed chinchilla)
Lineage: Eukaryota; Metazoa; Chordata; Mammalia; Rodentia; Chinchillidae
Description: lncRNA (ENSCLAG00000027448.1)
Source: RNAcentral